AAGAUUCCUUUUGAUGUGAGUUGAUGACAAUCUUGUGGAAUGUAGUUGUAACGUCCAAGAUGCAGUCCUAUCCUUCUUUUGGCACAAGGGCCUCGACACGGAUAGAAACGCAUCUCGUCGUUUCGCAAGAAUCGAUAUCGUUACAAGUACAUGUACUGAAAAGGUGAGUAUAAGGAAUUGGCUUACACUCACCAGAAGCUACAUCAAUAUCACAUCAAUACAAAAAUAUACAGUCAUCAUGAAGAAGAGCAAGGUUUGACUACGAACGAAAUCAAACGAUAAAAGAACGACCUCCAUCCUUGCUAUCCCAGGUUGCCGGCCUGUAACACAUCCUAGAUCGAUGAUGAAGAAGAAGAAACUCCAAAUAGCACAAUCAACGCGCUCACGUCAAAUUAACUCUUUACAUGUACCUGCAACUGGUGUUGUAGUAAUCUGUGAGCCACAGGGACUCGGCAAUCUCAUUUCCAAAAGUAUCAAGACUAGCAAAGCUUGAUGGGUGAGGUAUGGUUAAGUGGUGAGGCUGCAGCAAGCGCCUAUGCAUUUAUUUGAGGUGGCUAACUUACGAGUACAAGAAUAGGAGGGGGACGAUUUACGCAUAACCGGACAUGAACUAAUAAUGAUCAAAUGAAUGAUCCUCAACACCUACUUACAUCACACAUAACCCCAUCGUGUCCUCGAUCAGAGAAGGAGCUCGCGAAAGAGACAGUCAUGGUUACGCACUCAGUUCACACAUUUUAAUUAAGCUUACUUUAAGUUAUCUAGAACCGGAUGUUAAACAAAGUUUCCACGUUGCCACAUAACCGUGGGUAUGGCUUUCUGAAAGAUUGAACCCUACAGGGGUACUCCAACUACUCCAUCACAAACUACCACAUGCUGCGACGGAAUGACCUCGAUGAGGGAAAACAUGUGAUCUUCUUGGGUUCCUAUUGAAAAGCCUCAACAUCAAGAUGGCCCAAAGUAUCCUCGCAAUCCCUCACACAAAACGCUCGAGAAAGGUAAAGCAAGUCCAGCAAGGCCACCCAAAGUGCCGACAAUCCCGAUAGGAGCCGCGUAUCUCGUUCUUAGGGAACAAUCGGAUGAGGGCAGCAUACAGUGGCCUGAUAAAAAUCACCCUAGUUGCCCCGGGUUUGCCCCGCACACGACUCUGUUUAGGAGCAGCACAAUCAGCACUAACUCCCUAUGUAUUAUGUUGAAUUACUCCUCGGGUAGCGCUAACUCCCUAUGUUUUCGGUAUUAACAAAGCUGUUAUGUUGAGAAAAUAUAGUACCAAUGUUGGUCCUUACCAGACGAGCUUUAUCACAAAACGAGAAUUUAGGGGGUCCCCAUAACAACCCCAAGCAUGUUAGCAACGCUCAUUUAUGGAACAUAACAUUGGUAGCCGAAACUAAGGCGACAAAGGUGGAACAAAACACUAGACUAAAAAGGCCAAGCCUUCCACCUUUUACCAAGUAUAUAGGUGCAUUAAUUUAAAUAGCACUAAUAAGGUGAUAUAAAAAGGAACCCAUGUUAUCACAUGGAAGCAACUACACCUGCAACUAGCAACUCUAUCAAAUGGUUAAGCAAGUGGUAACAUAACCAAUCGGUGGUUUGCUAGGUUGUAGAACAACUGAAGGUUUUCAUGGUAAUAUUGGGAGGCUUAUUAAACAGGUGGUAGGCAGCAAUACAUAGUGAUAGAAACGAUAUAACUUGCAUGGAAAUGAUAGUAGUGGUAUCUAGGAAAAUGAUCAUCUUACAUGUAAUCCCGCUUGAAAGAACGACUCCGUGAAGCAGACGAACCUACGUAGUCGAACGGAUCCUCACAUUUUGACACAUUUGUGGAACUCUAUCGAGACGACCAAACCAGAAACAAGAAUCAACACACGAUAUUAACCAUGGCACAUGAACGACAUGAUGCACAACACAUAUGAUGCAUGCUCGAUUAAAUCAUUCAAGGCACGGCAUGGCAAUUCACAAUCAAACACUACACAUUAAGUGAAGCUCAAUAUGCAACGAGUUGCAUACUGAAGAAACUCCACAAUUGAAUUAUUUAUUUCACUCCAUUGAAGUACAAAGAAAUAUUAAAUGUUGUUGAACAUGGCAAGGGGUGAAUCACAAAUAAUCUACCUAUCUAGGCAUUUUAAAUGAGGCCGGAAACGACAUAUAGCAUCUCCGAACCGACUCCACACGUUAACUUUGUAAUCUGUCCAAAUCUAUCCUAACUGCAUUUUAUGUUUGUUAAACGGCAAAACAAAGUGGAUCACGUGAUUUUACUCGUCGUUCUAGUCCAUUUACAUAAAUGGCUCAUCUCCAACGGAGCUACGCUUAAUUAACUACGGACUAAACCAUUUUUAUCACAUCGACACACAAACCAAUGCAAACAGCAUGCUAAACAGUAAAUAUGCAUGAAAGUUGGAAAAUAAUAUUCUAUGCGAAAAUCUACAUGUUCUACAUACAUAAUUUGUCGCGAUCCGACACACAGCUUAAAAACUACGGGCGUUCUAAAAUAGGCAUCUAAUGAAAAUUGCAAUUACUAGACGAAAGAAAAACUACGAGCAACAGACACAGGCUGGGCUAGCCACUGCCAAUGACAGUGGGGCCGCACAGGUGGUCAACUGGUCAACUCAAUAUCAGUCAAUCAUGGCGUUGGGCCCCGGAUAUCGUUGUCUCAUAGAAAAAAGGAAAAAAAUGGCCCAGGGUGAAACAAGAUGGCACUAGCCACUCGAUCUACUCCAUGUACCACGGCAGGAAUAAAAUGAAAAACCAAAUAACCUAACAUGUCGGACGGAUCUAGGGAGAACACAACCUUUCUGCCAUGGUUGUGAGCUUCUCACCAGCGAGGAACGGGAAGGCAGCGGCGAUGAUGUCCGGUGGCGCGGUCCGGAAGCGGUGGAUCCGAUGACACGGGCUCCAUUUCCAGCGUCAGGGGAUCAAUUCGCGGUGGACCGCUGGUGCACAAGCUGCGAGCACCCCAUCCAUGGUGGGGUUGAUGUUCCUGUUGGUCAAGAGAGAGAGAGAGAGNNNNN
Molecule: long non-coding RNA, 3002 nt
Filed under: Hordeum vulgare
Lineage: Eukaryota; Viridiplantae; Streptophyta; Magnoliopsida; Poales; Poaceae
Description: long non-coding RNA (HVUL_LNC018750)
Source: RNAcentral